GUUCUUGCAGCCCUGUUUUUCCUGUCACCAUGCAGCAGCUAUCUAAGAAGUGAAGUUUUGAGGUUAUCCUUGUAUGUUUCAAAGUAUUUUAUGAUUUAUUGCUCAUUUUAUUAAAUCCAAGUUAGAUAUUUUAGUCGUUUCUUCCAUAAUGGAUGAAGAUGAAAUUGGAAGUGAUAAAAGCUCAUCCGACCUAUUCUCUUGCGAUGAUUCUGAUGAAUUUAUUCCACCAACAUCAUCUUCUGAUGAAGAAUGCUUUAGUAUUUUUACUAACAAGAGGAAGAAAAGAGAGAAUCUUGCAAAACCAAUUUGUAGGAGAAGAUUGUGUUCUAGCCCAGCUGCUCUUUGAAAUACUUCCAAUGUCAAUUUGGAAGGAACAGAGAUCAUUGAUUUACCUAGUGCAAGUCAAGAUAACUUAAAUCCCGGUACAACAACUGGAGGAGAGGAAAUUCGGAAUAUUGGAAUGAAUCGUCAAGAGAAUCACUUGGUAGCUACAGAACCAAUCACAACCAAGAAAAACGUCCGGAAGCGACUCCCAAACCCAUCAACUUGGAAAUCAAAUAUGAGGAAAAAUGCACAUCAAUCAGGGAAAAAGUAUGUGAGCCGCAGAGGUAAGGUAGUCGAAAAAAAA
Molecule: long non-coding RNA, 628 nt
Organism: Nilaparvata lugens (brown planthopper)
Lineage: Eukaryota; Metazoa; Arthropoda; Insecta; Hemiptera; Delphacidae
Exons: 3
Source: RefSeq, a predicted model, not a curated record